GGUUAAGCGACUAAGCGUACACGGUGGAUGCCCUGGCAGUCAGAGGCGAUGAAGGACGUGCUAAUCUGCGAUAAGCGUCGGUAAGGUGAUAUGAACCGUUAUAACCGGCGAUUUCCGAAUGGGGAAACCCAGUGUGAUUCGUCACACUAUCAUUAACUGAAUCCAUAGGUUAAUGAGGCAAACCGGGGGAACUGAAACAUCUAAGUACCCCGAGGAAAAGAAAUCAACCGAGAUUCCCCCAGUAGCGGCGAGCGAACGGGGAGCAGCCCAGAGCCUGAAUCAGUGUGUGUGUUAGUGGAAGCGUCUGGAAAGGCGCGCGAUACAGGGUGACAGCCCCGUACACAAAAAUGCACAUGCUGUGAGCUCGAUGAGUAGGGCGGGACACGUGGUAUCCUGUCUGAAUAUGGGGGGACCAUCCUCCAAGGCUAAAUACUCCUGACUGACCGAUAGUGAACCAGUACCGUGAGGGAAAGGCGAAAAGAACCCCGGCGAGGGGAGUGAAAAAGAACCUGAAACCGUGUACGUACAAGCAGUGGGAGCACGCUUAGGCGUGUGACUGCGUACCUUUUGUAUAAUGGGUCAGCGACUUAUAUUCUGUAGCAAGGUUAACCGAAUAGGGGAGCCGAAGGGAAACCGAGUCUUAACUGGGCGUUAAGUUGCAGGGUAUAGACCCGAAACCCGGUGAUCUAGCCAUGGGCAGGUUGAAGGUUGGGUAACACUAACUGGAGGACCGAACCGACUAAUGUUGAAAAAUUAGCGGAUGACUUGUGGCUGGGGGUGAAAGGCCAAUCAAACCGGGAGAUAGCUGGUUCUCCCCGAAAGCUAUUUAGGUAGCGCCUCGUGAAUUCAUCUCCGGGGGUAGAGCACUGUUUCGGCAAGGGGGUCAUCCCGACUUACCAACCCGAUGCAAACUGCGAAUACCGGAGAAUGUUAUCACGGGAGACACACGGCGGGUGCUAACGUCCGUCGUGAAGAGGGAAACAACCCAGACCGCCAGCUAAGGUCCCAAAGUCAUGGUUAAGUGGGAAACGAUGUGGGAAGGCCCAGACAGCCAGGAUGUUGGCUUAGAAGCAGCCAUCAUUUAAAGAAAGCGUAAUAGCUCACUGGUCGAGUCGGCCUGCGCGGAAGAUGUAACGGGGCUAAACCAUGCACCGAAGCUGCGGCAGCGACACUAUGUGUUGUUGGGUAGGGGAGCGUUCUGUAAGCCUGUGAAGGUGUACUGUGAGGUAUGCUGGAGGUAUCAGAAGUGCGAAUGCUGACAUAAGUAACGAUAAAGCGGGUGAAAAGCCCGCUCGCCGGAAGACCAAGGGUUCCUGUCCAACGUUAAUCGGGGCAGGGUGAGUCGACCCCUAAGGCGAGGCCGAAAGGCGUAGUCGAUGGGAAACAGGUUAAUAUUCCUGUACUUGGUGUUACUGCGAAGGGGGGACGGAGAAGGCUAUGUUGGCCGGGCGACGGUUGUCCCGGUUUAAGCGUGUAGGCUGGUUUUCCAGGCAAAUCCGGAAAAUCAAGGCUGAGGCGUGAUGACGAGGCACUACGGUGCUGAAGCAACAAAUGCCCUGCUUCCAGGAAAAGCCUCUAAGCAUCAGGUAACAUCAAAUCGUACCCCAAACCGACACAGGUGGUCAGGUAGAGAAUACCAAGGCGCUUGAGAGAACUCGGGUGAAGGAACUAGGCAAAAUGGUGCCGUAACUUCGGGAGAAGGCACGCUGAUAUGUAGGUGAAGUCCCUCGCGGAUGGAGCUGAAAUCAGUCGAAGAUACCAGCUGGCUGCAACUGUUUAUUAAAAACACAGCACUGUGCAAACACGAAAGUGGACGUAUACGGUGUGACGCCUGCCCGGUGCCGGAAGGUUAAUUGAUGGGGUUAGCGCAAGCGAAGCUCUUGAUCGAAGCCCCGGUAAACGGCGGCCGUAACUAUAACGGUCCUAAGGUAGCGAAAUUCCUUGUCGGGUAAGUUCCGACCUGCACGAAUGGCGUAAUGAUGGCCAGGCUGUCUCCACCCGAGACUCAGUGAAAUUGAACUCGCUGUGAAGAUGCAGUGUACCCGCGGCAAGACGGAAAGACCCCGUGAACCUUUACUAUAGCUUGACACUGAACAUUGAGCCUUGAUGUGUAGGAUAGGUGGGAGGCUUUGAAGUGUGGACGCCAGUCUGCAUGGAGCCGACCUUGAAAUACCACCCUUUAAUGUUUGAUGUUCUAACGUUGACCCGUAAUCCGGGUUGCGGACAGUGUCUGGUGGGUAGUUUGACUGGGGCGGUCUCCUCCUAAAGAGUAACGGAGGAGCACGAAGGUUGGCUAAUCCUGGUCGGACAUCAGGAGGUUAGUGCAAUGGCAUAAGCCAGCUUGACUGCGAGCGUGACGGCGCGAGCAGGUGCGAAAGCAGGUCAUAGUGAUCCGGUGGUUCUGAAUGGAAGGGCCAUCGCUCAACGGAUAAAAGGUACUCCGGGGAUAACAGGCUGAUACCGCCCAAGAGUUCAUAUCGACGGCGGUGUUUGGCACCUCGAUGUCGGCUCAUCACAUCCUGGGGCUGAAGUAGGUCCCAAGGGUAUGGCUGUUCGCCAUUUAAAGUGGUACGCGAGCUGGGUUUAGAACGUCGUGAGACAGUUCGGUCCCUAUCUGCCGUGGGCGCUGGAGAACUGAGGGGGGCUGCUCCUAGUACGAGAGGACCGGAGUGGACGCAUCACUGGUGUUCGGGUUGUCAUGCCAAUGGCACUGCCCGGUAGCUAAAUGCGGAAGAGAUAAGUGCUGAAAGCAUCUAAGCACGAAACUUGCCCCGAGAUGAGUUCUCCCUGACUCCUUGAGAGUCCUGAAGGAACGUUGAAGACGACGACGUUGAUAGGCCGGGUGUGUAAGCGCAGCGAUGCGUUGAGCUAACCGGUACUAAUGAACCGUGAGGCUUAACCUU
RNAcentral lists this ribosomal RNA (2903 nucleotides) under Escherichia coli. RNAcentral's name for it is "23S ribosomal RNA". It matches the Rfam family "Bacterial large subunit ribosomal RNA". Lineage: Bacteria; Pseudomonadati; Pseudomonadota; Gammaproteobacteria; Enterobacterales; Enterobacteriaceae. The record is from RNAcentral.